UGUUCACUACAUUUUGAAAAAAAUGCACAACUGGAAAAUGAGAUUUAUGAGCUAAAAAAUAGGGUAUCAGAGUUUAAGCAAGAAAAUAUAGAAUUGAAACAACAACUCCACAAUUUGAGAUAUACCUUAAAAGAAGAUGAGUUGAAGAGAAAAAAUGAUGAUAUGUUACAUGAAAAAAAUAAGAACCCA
Molecule: non-coding RNA, 189 nt
Organism: Ictidomys tridecemlineatus (thirteen-lined ground squirrel)
Lineage: Eukaryota; Metazoa; Chordata; Mammalia; Rodentia; Sciuridae
Source: RefSeq, a predicted model, not a curated record